This is a long non-coding RNA of Solanum dulcamara, 3106 nucleotides long. RefSeq lists it as uncharacterized. The transcript is spliced from 4 exons. NCBI's taxonomy places the organism in Eukaryota, Viridiplantae, Streptophyta, Magnoliopsida, Solanales, Solanaceae. The record is from RefSeq and is a predicted model, not a curated record.
UCAAUGACCACAACUAAUUCUAUUAUUUUUCUACCUCUAGACAUCCAAACCCUAAUUUUUUUUUGAUUCAUCAUCUUCCCAAAAGAGAAGAGGGAUCCGCCACUUCCUCGUCUCUCCAACAAAAAAACUCACGCUGCCAUUGUCUCCUCCACUGCCUCACUUCCUUCUCCGGCGAACCCUCUCCCUCACACGCUGCUCGCCGCCCGUCAAGAACCACCAACCUUCGCCGUCUCCUCUCCGCGCGAGCCGCUGUCCAGAGAAGAAAGCAGCAACCACCCGUCACCGGCGAACAGCGAGCUCCGAGCUCGCACGAUGAACAAAAGCCCACGUUGAUCCACCAUCAGCAGCCCCUGCUUCUUCUUCCUCUUCCUCUCCACCGCUGCAACAGCAACUUCGACGAACACACCGAACAAGCUGCAACGACGAACAGCAACCUGCAAGCGGCCAUGGCUGCGCUGUUUCUCCUUCAAUCAGCAGCUCCUCUGCAACCUACAACCAACAGCAACACCAACGCAGCAACAUCACCCAACAGCUGCAACAGCAAAACCUCCAACCAGUCAGCGCCGCCCUCCGUGUUCUCUCGUCAAAGCCGACGAGCAACACAAACAAAGAGCAUCGAUGCUCCAGUCAAAUUUCGGCCAAGGAUUCUAGGAUAAAUCGACAAAGGUGAGGACGAGGCUUUAAUGGAUUCUUAAGAUCCGACCUUGUUAUGGUUACUAAGACUCAUAUUUGGCACGUAUUUUUUUUUUAACAGAUCUAAAGUUCAUACUCCGUAUAGAAUUAUUGUACUAAUGUUAGUCUGAUCAUAUUUCUUUAUUCAUGAUUCUUAAUAUUUGUUACUGAAACUUCGUUUCCAGAACCGUAUGUAGUUGGUUUGUGUUACUUGCAUGAGGCAAAUUUUUUGUCAUUUGUGUUAAAAUUGUUAACUACAGGUUGUUCAAAUAUAUGCCCUCUAUAAUUUAUUUUUAGCAAGAACCUCGAUAUUGGCUGAUAACAGUAAUACAGACCUGUUCAUAUCUUUUUUUUUUAGAAGAUCCUUAAUUAACUUGUUGAAUCUUCAUGUGUGUCUAAUUAGCUUUCUAUUAAUUUUGGCAUGGAAUUAAUCAUCUCUAGCAUAUAUUGCUCUCUUAGUUGAUUCUGUAGAUUAUCAAAUCUGAUUUGUUGACUGAUCGACACUUCAAAAAUUGGGAGGGGCCAAUCUGAUAAACCUCCCCAACAUCUUCUGCUCUUCUGUAGUCAUAACUGGCCUAGCUACCAUAUGCUGAACAACUGUGGGGAUGAUGUCCGUUGUGGAAAUGGGUUAAAAUGGCACUUUGGUACCAAGAACGAGAAGAACGAAUCCAGAAAGGGAAGACUCUUGCAUUGUAAGGUUGUGAAAGCUUGAAUUUGAGGGAAACAUGCUAGUGGAGAUGCAAUUUGGAGAACUUUAUCUUCGGCUAUAAGAUCUAAGGGGGACAUUGUCUUAACAGUUGCGUCUAGCGUAAUUGCAUCUCUUUUAUUACCGGGAGGCCAUAAAGAUCAUUCAAAAUUUGCAAUACCAUUAAUUGCAACUGAAGAUUCAACAUGUAACAUAAAACAAGGCAGUCCUCUUUCAAAUUUGAUUAUAAAGACAAAGUUAAUUAUUUGGGAUAAGACACCUAUGAUGCAUAGAUAUUGUUUUGAAGCUCUUGACAAAACUCUAAGAGAUAUUCUUAGAUUUCAAGAUGCUUCCAAUUUGGAUCGGUCAUUUGGAGGUAAAACAAUUGUUCUUGGUGGUGAUUUCAGAUAAAUUCAUCCAGUCAUUCCAAAAGAAAAUAGGCAAGAUGUUGUUAAUGCUACUCUUAAUUCUUCAUAUUUAUGGACUAGCUGUCAAGUCUUAAAGCUAACCAAAAUUAUGAGGUUAGAAGAAAAUCAUGCGGAUUCAGAUUUGGAGGAUUUGAGAGAAUUUGCUGAUGGUAAAAUUGGUAAUUCAGUUGAUGGUAUUGAAAAAGUUCGCAUCCCCGAUGAUCUUCUAAUUGAGAAUUGUGAUGAUCCAAUUUCUGCAAUUGUGAAAAGUACAUAUCCAGUUUUGUUUAGUCAUUUUAAUGAUAUAACAUAUCUACAAAAAGAGGAAUUCUUGCUCCCACUCUUGACAUGGUUGAAUCAAUCAAUGAACACAUGAUUUCACUCGAUCAAAGUGAAGGAACAACAUUCUUCAGUUUUGAUACCAUUUGCAAGUCCGAUGAUGCAUUCACAGGUUUGGAACGAGUACAUACUACAGAAUACCUAAACACUAUUAAGUGCUUUGGAAUUUCAAAUUAUAUCAUCACUUUAAAAGUUGGUGUACCGGUGAUGUUAUUGAGAAAUAUAGAUCAAUCUUCAAGGCUAUGUAAUGGAACAAGAUUAAUUAUCACUAGACUUGGAAAUCGGAUUAUCGAAGCAAAAGUUUUGUCAGGUAAUAUGAUUGGACAAAAGGUGUUCAUACCAAGAAUGUCGUUGACUCCAUCUGAUGUAAGAAUACCAUUCAAGUUUCAACGAAGGCAAUUUUCUAUAGUUGCAUUUUUUGCCAUGACUAUAAAUAAAAGUCAAAGGACAAUCAUUGUCUCAUGUUGGGUUAUAUUUGAAGAAAUCAGUAUUCACACAUGAUCAACUAUAUUGGGUUAUAUUUGAAGAAAUCAGUGUUCACACAUGAUCAACUAUAUGUUGCAUUAUCACGGAUUACAAAAAGAAAGGGAUUAAAAAUUUUGAUUUAUGAUGAUGAAGGAAUAAUUUCAAGAGAAGCAACAAAUGUAGUGUACAAAGAAGUUUUUCAAAAUGUACAUGGUGAAUGAAAGCAAAUGUGAUCUUAAAUUUCAAAUUUUAUAUGCUAAUAUAUUAUUUGUUUUCUGAUACAACAUCAUGGAAAUAAGCUUCAAAAGAAUUUAUCACGAACUUCAUUUGGAAGAUUGUUAUUGCUGGAGUAUCUCAAAUUUUGAAUUGUUACAACUUGAUAGAUGAUGGUUAUAUUUGAGUUGCAUGAUGUUUUAAAAAUAAGUUGGAACAAGAUGAAACAUUUAGAUCGAGUAUAUUUUCUUAUUAUGUUGUAGCAAGUGUACUUUCUUUACAUUUUGUAAAAAUUAUUAUAUUAUCGUGUUGUAGAAAUAGACUU